This 429-nucleotide ribosomal RNA is filed under the name uncultured dinoflagellate. RNAcentral's name for it is "partial 18S rRNA". The record is from RNAcentral. Lineage: Eukaryota; Dinophyceae.
UAAGAACGGCCAUGCACCACCACCCACAGAAUCAAGAAAGAGCUAUCAAUCUGUCAAUCCUUACUAUGUCUGGACCUGGUGAGUUUCCCCGUGUUGAGUCAAAUUAAGCCGCAGGCUCCACUCCUGGUGGUGCCCUUCCGUCAAUUCCUUUAAGUUUCAGUCUUGCGACCAUACUCCCCCUGGAACUCAAAGACUUUGAUUUCUCAAAAAAUGCCGAAGGAAUCAACAGGCAACCGCCUCCAAUUUCUUGGUAGCAUAGUUUAUGGUUAAGACUAGGACGGUAUCUAAUCGUCUUCGAUCCCCUAACUUUCGUUCUCGAUUAAAGAAGACAUCCUUGGCAAAUGCAUUCGCAUUAGUUUGUCUUUAACAAAUCCAAGAAGUUCACCUCUGACAGUUAAAUACAAAUGCCCCCAACCAUCCCCAUCAAUC